CCUGGUCUCGGCUGAAGACCAGGGGAGACCGUGCCGUUGCUGCACCCAGGUUAUGGAAUACUCUUCCUCUUCAUGUUCGUGCAUCAGAUUCCAUUCAGUCUUUUAAAUCACGCCUAAAAACGUAUUUGUUUAACCUGCCAUUCAGGGCUAAUUAGGGUAAUUUACAUCUGGCUCUGCAUUUAGAUUAUGUAAUUAUUUUAUAUUUUAUUUAUUUUAUUUAUAUCUGUAAUUUAUAUUUUAUAUUGUGAUUUUUUUUUAUCUGUAUCAGGAUUUUACUGGAAAGCACUUUGGUGUACUGCGGUCUUUAAAAUGUGCUAUAUGAAUACAUUUUGAUUGAUUGAUUAUUGUCAUCAGCUGAUCAGAGGAAAGCACGUGUUUAAUGUGCACGCCGACUGAAGCCGAGGUCAGUUCGUGGUUGGACGUUUCUGACCACAGGAAAUAUCAUCCAGGUUUAACAGCUGACGGCUUCUCUCCCGUCUGUCCGAACGACCACACCAAGUACAAGAUGAGACAUUUCAGAUGUGACGACAGGAUCAAAGAUGAAUCGAAGCUCUGACAGAUCGAUUUGGUGCUUUUAGCUGCAGGAGCUCGCACAGUCGCGAGGCCCCAGCCACACCUGCACUGAUGUGCAUGGCAUGCAAAUGUCUUCCAAAUCACUGCGAGUUUGACUCACAAAUGAUCGUUUCCAUACCUGAAGGACAGGAAAGAAGGUGACUGUGGAAAACUCCCCACAGUCAGCCGCUGACCGCAGACCGGCAGAAGCUUCAUAUCAAAGCCACUUCUGUAAUUUGAUGAUAAACUGAGGGAGACGUUGGUGUUUUUCCUCCAUCAUGUAUCCUUUGGUCCUCCUGCUGCUGCUGGGAGCGAGGAGCUCAGAGUCCACGGGCCCUGUGCCUUACGACACCGUUGGCCAAAACUUUACCGUUGUGUUUCCGGAGAACAUCGCCAGCUACUACCCCAGCCCGCCCACAAACAUGGUCAUAAUCACUGCUUUGAAAAACGAGACAACAGUCCGAGUUCAAGAGUACGACAAGUCUGAGCAACGGGUCCUGGACGCUGGAGAUGUUUGGAAUUUCACCGUGAAUGAAAAGCUGGAACUCGGGAAGCAAAACAUCUCCAACAAAACUCUGACCAUUGACAGCAACAAAGAUAUCACCGUUCAAGCCAUCAGCCGUAAAGAAGACAGUCUGCAGACUGCUGUCGUCAUACCUACAGACAAACUCGGCACAACGUACCUCAUCCCACCAAUACCCACAAUUCCCGGCACAAACAAUUAUCAGGACUUAGUUGUGCAGACGGUGACGGAGCGAGGCCCGUUCAGAAUCAUCAUCGUCAACGGUGUUCAGCAGCAAAACAACGUGAACGUCGGAGGAUUAAAGACGCAAGAAGUUUCCCUCCAGUCAGGCCAGGUUGCUCAGAUCUGGUUGAAUGAGAGUGCAGGGUUUAAAAACGUGACGGCUGAAAAGCCAGUGGCCGUCCUCUUUGGCCACCCCUGCGCCGUCCAGCGCAACUGCAGCUGCGGGCUGCUGUACGCCAUUCUGCCGCCAGCCCCAGGCAGGACGCUGAAGUACUUAGUUCCUCCAUUUCUGGCCCAGGAUUCCGCGGGAGAGACGAUGGUACUUUUGGCACAGAACGAUUCCACCAGCGUCACGCCCUACGCCUCAAGCUCACCGACGUAUGAUGUAGCCGGCACAGCCAUCCUCUACCGGCCGGGAUUACUUCUCCCUCUGAUCCCAACAGCAAACUUUGCCUGCUGCUUUGUGGUCACAGCAUUCCCCACGAUCUCCAAUAACUACGCCGUGAUCGUGGUCAGCAGUAACGUCACCGACGGGGUUCGUGUUGGAAAUAACCACAUAUCAAGUGCAGACUGGACGAAACUGGAGGGGACUGAUUACAGCUCGAUACAAGUUCCUCUGCGUUUGGGUGAAACUGUCAUCUGGCACACUUCCUCCAAAAUGGCCGUCUACUUUAGCGGGAACAAUGGAAGCACUUUGUUUGGGAACCAGGCACCUGUCGUCAGUUCAAGCCCAGAUUUCAGGGGCUGCGCCGUGACCCCCGAGGUUCUAGACUUGGAAGAACAACCCAGCGACUGGCGUGAAUCUUUUAAAGCCUGCGCUGAUCGCAAACUAGAGCUGCUCUGCCUGUCAAGCGCCGACCUCCAGAAACAGAUCUAUGGCAAACUUUACCAGAACAGGUCUUUAACUAACAACACUGUACAAGAGGUGUGGAUCGGCAUGCGGCGCAGCUCGCUGAACGGGGAGUGGUUCUGGGUGAACGGGGACAGCGUCAACAGCACCACCUGGGGUGACGGCGAGCCCGGUGGGGUGGAGGAAGGCCAGUGCACCAUCAUGAGUCUGGGAAACGGCACGGGCUUUGAGUGGAGCGACGACGACUGCUGCAUGGAUGCUCAUUAUAUCUGCUACAAGGAGCCGGAGCUCUUCCCCAUAUAGGACAGGAGCUCUGCAGCUCUGCACUGUCGUUAGUUUCACUACACAUCCUGUUCACGUAUAAGCAUGCUGUAGCUGCCAGUCACAUUUUAUGGCUCUGUAGAAGAAAAACAUGUACUCUAGUUUAGUCUGAGGGUCUCACGCUCUGCUUGGUGAGACACCUGAACAGCAACCAGCAGCAUCUUAGUCCUGAAAACCGAAGCAAAUGUGUAACUAAGCAUUUAAGAAAGUUUCACUUUGCAGAGGAUGUUCCUGCUGAUCUGACUGGGAAAUGUUACGAUCGUUGGGAACCAGUAUGCAGCAUCACUGGUUUCCUGUUUGAUUGUAAUCUGAGGAGAGUGAGCUGUUAUUUGUCACUAUUUAAAGUGUUUGAGCUUCGUGUGUUUGUAAUAAUCGGCUCUGCAGAAGCUUCAGCAGAGUGAUGCUAACUCGUAUUUACUGUUUGCUCUUAGAUUACGGUUUCUGGGAUAAACGAUCAGCGCCGUCCUGCGGCUGGUAGAAUACUUUUCUAUAAUAACUGAAGAUGUAAAUUCAAGUGUGAUUUUAUUCUUUAAGGAGUCCUAAACCGAGCUGAAUGUAAGUUUACAGGUAACCUCGUCAUCCUGAUGCUUUAUAUUAUUUACCGGUUUGAAGUCAGCAGAGUUUGCAUGUUGAACUGUUGAAUCUGCAGUCUGAUUGGUCAGAAUCAUCUAUGCACCAGUUUUAUUGUAAAAAUGAUUAUUUCAGUCAAUCAUGGACUCAGUGACACAUCAAUAAAUCUGUUUUGCUGUGACAAACUGGACGCUGGUGUCUUUUAUUUGUUCCCAGUACAGAAACGUCCAAAACGAUUCACAUCUUUACACCUUUAAACUCUAAAUGUUCUUUAUUGUCAGGCUAACAAUUUAAAGACUUCAGUAACUUUACUGUUAAAUGGAUUUAAUGUCCAACAACAACAUUAAUGAGCAAAUUUCAACAAAUAUUAAGUUUGCAGAUGAUGUGCAUCUUUAUUCAUCAGUUGUUUCAGACUUUAUUUCCUCAAGUUUCCUGUAAAAACCUGAAAUCAUUUGGUAAUUAAAGGCAAGG
This is a long non-coding RNA of Astatotilapia calliptera (eastern happy), 3509 nucleotides long. NCBI's taxonomy places the organism in Eukaryota, Metazoa, Chordata, Actinopteri, Cichliformes, Cichlidae. The record is from Ensembl.